UACGGAGGAUGCGAGCGUUAUCCGGAUUUAUUGGGUUUAAAGGGAGCGUAGACGGGUCCUUAAGUCAGUUGUGAAAGUUUGCGGCUCAACCGUAAAAUUGCAGUUGAUACUGGGGACCUUGAGUGCGGCAGAGGCAGGCGGAAUUCGUGGUGUAGCGGUGAAAUGCUUAGAUAUCACGAAGAACUCCGAUUGCGAAGGCAGCUUGCUGGACCGUAACUGACGUUGAGGCACGAAAGCGUGGGGAGCGAACAGG
RNAcentral lists this ribosomal RNA (253 nucleotides) under uncultured bacterium. Its description in RNAcentral is "partial 16S ribosomal RNA". It matches the Rfam family "Bacterial small subunit ribosomal RNA", at positions 524 to 776 of the family's 1533-position model. The record is from RNAcentral.